Apis mellifera (honey bee) is the source of this 78-nucleotide non-coding RNA. Lineage: Eukaryota; Metazoa; Arthropoda; Insecta; Hymenoptera; Apidae. The record is from RefSeq and is marked provisional.
AAGAAACGUAAGAGGGACGAGGAGGGAGGUUUAACGAGGGAAGUUGGCGAUCGCUCGUUUCGUUCAUUCACGGGGAUG